UAUUCAUGUAGCUUUUCAAAUUCAGCUGUGCAAGUGGUUUUCAUCACGAGGUGGAACUUCCAGAAAGGUGUGAAUCAACCAAGAGAAUGAACUAUCUUGGGAGAAGAAAAGAUGAAGCAGUGACAGAUCUCCUCUGAUGAGGAAGGGAACAGUGAAGAUCCUGAAAUGGGCCAGGAGGUCACUCAUAGACACGAAGAAUCCAGAUCCUUUAACCAUGGAAAUGAAAUAAGUCUCUAAUUGCCUGAGAGCCCCACUCUCCUUUAAAACCAGAACUGCUACUGAACGCCAAGGAAUUGGAAAGUGACAAAAAAAAAAAAGCUCAGACGCAGUCAAGUUAUACUCCUUCAAAGGAAAAAGUUCGGGUAAAAUCUAUAGCUCUCUGGAUGAUGAAAGGAAAAGACAUGAAGACAAAGAAAAUAAAGACACUGUUGCUCAGGAGUGGAUUAGAUCUGUGGCAGAAACUCAUGCAUCUUCACCCAGCUAUCUUUGUAAUGCAACAUUGGUUCCAGAGCCCAUUAAUGGAAUGCCUCAGCAUUUGGAUGGCCUUUUCUGUAAGGAUCACUGAUUUUACAUAGUAAGUGGUUCACAUAUGGAAUGAUAAAAUGAUAAUCUUGGCAAAGUAUUUGAAUGUUCUAGGAACU
Rhincodon typus (whale shark) is the source of this 641-nucleotide long non-coding RNA. RefSeq lists it as uncharacterized. Lineage: Eukaryota; Metazoa; Chordata; Chondrichthyes; Orectolobiformes; Rhincodontidae. The transcript is spliced from 5 exons. The record is from RefSeq and is a predicted model, not a curated record.